This 1408-nucleotide ribosomal RNA is filed under the name Streptococcus salivarius. RNAcentral describes it as "bacterial SSU rRNA". It matches the Rfam family "Bacterial small subunit ribosomal RNA". The record is from RNAcentral. Lineage: Bacteria; Bacillati; Bacillota; Bacilli; Lactobacillales; Streptococcaceae.
CGGUCCACAUGCCCAAAACGCUGGAAGAGAGGAGCUUGCUCUUUCUUGGAUGAGUUGCGAACGGGUGAGUAACGCGUAGGUAACCUGCCUUGUAGCGGGGGAUAACUAUUGGAAACGAUAGCUAAUACCGCAUAACAAUGGAUGACACAUGUCAUUUAUUUGAAAGGGGCAAUUGCUCCACUACAAGAUGGACCUGCGUUGUAUUAGCUAGUAGGUGAGGUAACGGCUCACCUAGGCGACGAUACAUAGCCGACCUGAGAGGGUGAUCGGCCACACUGGGACUGAGACACGGCCCAGACUCCUACGGGAGGCAGCAGUAGGGAAUCUUCGGCAAUGGGGGCAACCCUGACCGAGCAACGCCGCGUGAGUGAAGAAGGUUUUCGGAUCGUAAAGCUCUGUUGUAAGUCAAGAACGAGUGUGAGAGUGGAAAGUUCACACUGUGACGGUAGCUUACCAGAAAGGGACGGCUAACUACGUGCCAGCAGCCGCGGUAAUACGUAGGUCCCGAGCGUUGUCCGGAUUUAUUGGGCGUAAAGCGAGCGCAGGCGGUUUGAUAAGUCUGAAGUUAAAGGCUGUGGCUCAACCAUAGUUCGCUUUGGAAACUGUCAAACUUGAGUGCAGAAGGGGAGAGUGGAAUUCCAUGUGUAGCGGUGAAAUGCGUAGAUAUAUGGAGGAACACCGGUGGCGAAAGCGGCUCUCUGGUCUGUAACUGACGCUGAGGCUCGAAAGCGUGGGGAGCGAACAGGAUUAGAUACCCUGGUAGUCCACGCCGUAAACGAUGAGUGCUAGGUGUUGGAUCCUUUCCGGGAUUCAGUGCCGCAGCUAACGCAUUAAGCACUCCGCCUGGGGAGUACGACCGCAAGGUUGAAACUCAAAGGAAUUGACGGGGGCCCGCACAAGCGGUGGAGCAUGUGGUUUAAUUCGAAGCAACGCGAAGAACCUUACCAGGUCUUGACAUCCCGAUGCUAUUUCUAGAGAUAGAAAGUUACUUCGGUACAUCGGUGACAGGUGGUGCAUGGUUGUCGUCAGCUCGUGUCGUGAGAUGUUGGGUUAAGUCCCGCAACGAGCGCAACCCCUAUUGUUAGUUGCCAUCAUUCAGUUGGGCACUCUAGCGAGACUGCCGGUAAUAAACCGGAGGAAGGUGGGGAUGACGUCAAAUCAUCAUGCCCCUUAUGACCUGGGCUACACACGUGCUACAAUGGUUGGUACAACGAGUUGCGAGUCGGUGACGGCAAGCUAAUCUCUUAAAGCCAAUCUCAGUUCGGAUUGUAGGCUGCAACUCGCCUACAUGAAGUCGGAAUCGCUAGUAAUCGCGGAUCAGCACGCCGCGGUGAAUACGUUCCCGGGCCUUGUACACACCGCCCGUCACACCUGCGAGAGUUUGUAGCAACCGAGAAAAAGGUUUACU